Anthonomus grandis grandis is the source of this 1034-nucleotide long non-coding RNA. RefSeq lists it as uncharacterized. NCBI's taxonomy places the organism in Eukaryota, Metazoa, Arthropoda, Insecta, Coleoptera, Curculionidae. The transcript is spliced from 3 exons. The record is from RefSeq and is a predicted model, not a curated record.
GGUCGCAGGAGAAUGAAGGAAAACAUAAUAAAUUGUUUGGCCUAUAUAGAAUUUGAUCCGCACUUAAGCAUCAGAACUUUUUCAGGCGAUUUAGGCAUACCUCGUUUUGUAGUUCACAGAAUUUUGCAGGAACACAGAUUUCAUCCCUUCCAUAUAGUACUCUACCAGGCAUUAAAUCUAGAAGACUAUGACAGAAGACUAGAUUAUUGUCAUUGGAUCGAUAAUAUGCUCGAAAAUCCAAAUUUUCUCAACGAAAUUUUAUGGACAGUCGUAGCAACUUUCAAUAGUGACGGAGAAGUUAACAGACAUAAUAUGCACUAUUGGUCUGAAACUAACCCUCGUUGGAUGCGCGAGAUCCAGCAUCAGGGAAGGUGGAGUGUUAAUGUCUGGUGCGGUGUAAUAGGAUCUCAGGUUAUAGGUUCAUUUUUAUUUGAUGAGAGCCUAACUGAAGAACGAUAUGUUGGAUUUUUAAGAAAUGAGCUCCCAGCAUUAUUAGAAGAGGUGUCUCUGGUUAUAAGAGCCAACAUGUUUUUACAACAUGACGGAUGCCCGGCUCAUUUCGCGGUACAAGUGCGAACGAUCCUUAAUCAGCGGUACCCUAAUCGGUGGAUUGGCAGAGGUAGCCUUUUCCCUUGGCUGGCAAGAUCGCCAGAUUUAAGCUGCCUUGACUUUUAUUUAUGGGGUAGAAUAAAAGCCAUUGUAUUUUCUUCGAUUCCUACCAAUAGAGAAAAUAUGAAACAGCGAAUAAGGGGCGCUAUUCGGAGUUUACCAGCCGCAGAAAUAGAGGCAGCCGUGGAAUCAACCCGACGAAGAGUUCAAAAUUGUAUAGAACAAGACGGACGACAAUUUGAACACCUCGGCAGGCAUUAGAUUAGUGUAGGAAUUAAAAUAAUAUUAUUUUUUAUUCCAUUCCAAAUAAGCAAGAUUUUUAUCUUUUUUCAGUUUAAUCGGUACCAAGUGCCAAAACUAUCACAAUAUUUUUGUCGUGUUACCAUGACGCGUCGACGUUGAUAAAUAUAUAAAACAUUCCUAUG